Molecule: long non-coding RNA, 623 nt
Organism: Nymphalis io (European peacock)
Lineage: Eukaryota; Metazoa; Arthropoda; Insecta; Lepidoptera; Nymphalidae
Exons: 2
Source: RefSeq, a predicted model, not a curated record
AAACGUAUGUUUUAUUAAAUUGUCAAAUUUUAUGUCAAACAUGUGCAGUUGUUUCUAAAUUGAGAUUUGGGAUAAUGUUAUUUUUUUACUUUAUAAAAAUUUCUCAUGUUUAAUUAUUUAUAGUAUAAUUACUAUUUUUAAUUAAAUUGUAAAUAUAAUUACUAUUGUUUAAGUUAGAGAACUUGAGUAGAGCCAAAUAUUUAGUGUUUAGAAAGUUAAACUAACAUCGUGUGUAUUUUUAUUAACACAAGAGGAAAUUCAAAAUUAUUUAUUUACCAGAAUCAUACAUUCAGAUUUAUGUACAAAAAGGCAUAUGGAAGCCAGUUAUGGUAUUGUUGGUAUUUCUUCAGUAAAUGCUGUCCUGCUAAAUUACGGAUAAACAAUGCAGGUAAAGUUACAGAGACUAUUGGCAAGCACAAUCAUGAUCCACCUACAUGCUGGAUGACACCAGAUGGAAAGUCGUACAAUCUUCCUCCGCUUCCAGAAAAAAAUAACGAAAAUGAAUAAAUUGUACUGUUACCUAAUAUUAAACCAUUGAUUAAAGAAAUGACUUUUACUGAAAACAGUUAAGAACAAAUUAUCAAUGAGAUUUUAGUUAUAAAUAAAUAAAAAUAUAUUAUUUA